UGGGGAAUUGUUCGCAAUGGGCGCAAGCCUGACGACGCAACGCCGCGUGGAGGAUGAAGGUCUUCGGAUUGUAAACUCCUGUUGCCAGGGACGAACAGCUUCGACCUAACACGUCGAGGUUUGACGGUACCUGGUGAGGAAGCCCCGGCUAACUCUGUGCCAGCAGCCGCGGUAAUACAGAGGGGGCAAGCGUUGUUCGGAAUUACUGGGCGUAAAGGGCGCGUAGGCGGCCUGCUAAGUCGAACGUGAGAUCCCUGGGCUCAAACCCAGGAACUGCGUCCGAUACUGGCAGGCUUGAAUCCGGGAGAGGGAUGCGGAAUUCCAGGUGUAGCGGUGAAAUGCGUAGAUAUCUGGAGGAACACCGGUGGCGAAGGCGGCAUCCUGGACCGGUAUUGACGCUGAUGCGCGAAAGCCAGGGGAGCAACGGGAUUAGAUACCCCGGUAGUCCUGGCCCUAAACGAUGAAUGCUUGGUGUGGCGGGUAUCGAUCCCUGCCGUGACCG
This 502-nucleotide ribosomal RNA is filed under the name uncultured Acidobacteriota bacterium. RNAcentral describes it as "bacterial SSU rRNA". It matches the Rfam family "Bacterial small subunit ribosomal RNA", at positions 355 to 849 of the family's 1533-position model. The record is from RNAcentral. Lineage: Bacteria; Pseudomonadati; Acidobacteriota.